UGUUUGGGUGGAGUGCAGUGGAGAGCACCAGUGCAUGGCAUGAAGAGGAGAGCCCACGGACAGGGGAACGUGCUCAGUUUCUACAUGAACACAGAAAAACAUCUGUUCUUCCUUCUGUUUGGCUGAACUGCAGAAGGGACUUACCUGGAAUAACAGGGUGCUCUUUAAACAAAACCUGUUCUUUAUACUUCUAAAUCAGGAUUUAACCCUCCACUGGUACCUUGGGCAAUCUCCAGCUGCCUUUUUGCAUCUCCUAAUGCAGAGAACAGAUCCAGCUUGAUCCUGGUCUCUGCACUCAGGCUGUUCUCUAAGUGCUG
This is a long non-coding RNA of Myiozetetes cayanensis, 317 nucleotides long. RefSeq lists it as uncharacterized. The record is from RefSeq and is a predicted model, not a curated record. The transcript is spliced from 3 exons. NCBI's taxonomy places the organism in Eukaryota, Metazoa, Chordata, Aves, Passeriformes, Tyrannidae.